Bactrocera latifrons is the source of this 571-nucleotide long non-coding RNA. RefSeq lists it as uncharacterized. NCBI's taxonomy places the organism in Eukaryota, Metazoa, Arthropoda, Insecta, Diptera, Tephritidae. The record is from RefSeq and is a predicted model, not a curated record. The transcript is spliced from 3 exons.
UAAAAGUGUUAAUUUCGGAUCAUGAGCUGAGAAACUGUUUCGUUAUUGUCUGUUUUUUUGAUAUUGCACGAUGAAGUCAAACGAAGACUUAGUGGGGAAAAUUGCUAUGGGUAUUUAUAAGGCCAGCAUAAAACGGAAGGGCAGAAGUGAUAUUUGAUGGCAGAAGUAUAUUGCUUGACAUGACAUAUGUAUGUAAAUGCUUUAAAUCACAUAUAACUGAACURCCCAGACAGAAAGUAAGAGAAGAGGAUAAAAGAUUUGCUUUAGAACUUUACACUGAUUGGAUGGUUGAAGACUGUCGUCCGAUUUCUUCCGUGAAGGCCUUCAGAUUAAAAAACAAUAGUCCAAUUUUUGGUGGCUAUAGCCACAAAGUAUGGAAAAAAAGUAUGUUGACGUUCGGAAGUAAGAACCCAAUAAUCAUUUCGCGCAAUAUAGAAAAAAAAAAUACAAAACAAAAAAAGAAGAAAUUCCUGUUGAAAUAACAUAAAAUGUACAAUCCAGCUACGCUUCUACUGCAAUGGAUUUAUGGAAAGACGAAUAUGUUAAACGCGAUUUUUUCUGUGUCCAAAGU